AUGAUACAGAAGAACAUGUAUAGAGACGGCAGAAAAAAGAGAGGACCUAAGCAUCAGACUUCGAGGUUGACGGAGGGCAUCUCGAACUCGGACGUGAUCUCCGCGAUCUGCUUGCGGACGCUCAUGUCGAUGAAGUUGGAGCUGUCGCGGCCGUACUGCACGGUGAAGCCGGCGAUGAGCUCCGGGUCAAGUCGGGUCUUGAUCCGGACGUUGGCGGCGCCGGUGAUGUUCUGCACGUGCGUGGCGAUCUGCGCGAGGUCCUGCGACUCGAGCUGCACGACGGAGGUGACGACGGCCUCCUCGGUGCCGGUGAGCGCGUUGUAG
Molecule: ribosomal RNA, 324 nt
Filed under: Triticum aestivum (bread wheat)
Lineage: Eukaryota; Viridiplantae; Streptophyta; Magnoliopsida; Poales; Poaceae
Description: partial small subunit ribosomal RNA
Source: RNAcentral